RNAcentral lists this long non-coding RNA (422 nucleotides) under Gossypium raimondii (Peruvian cotton). Its description in RNAcentral is "long non-coding RNA (GRAI_LNC011128)". Lineage: Eukaryota; Viridiplantae; Streptophyta; Magnoliopsida; Malvales; Malvaceae. The record is from RNAcentral.
CCAGAAAUAGACUAUUGAACACAAAAUAAUAUCUUAAAAAUGAUACCCAACAACUUAUUGAAUUUGCACAAGUGCUGCUUAAUGCUACGAAAUCAAGAGGAAAGAAAACAAAAGAUAUCUGAGUAAGAAGUAAAGCAAAAAGAAAAAUUUGACAGGGAUGGGGGAGAAAAUAUCAGAAAGAUGAAGAGAAAAAUGACUCUCUUUUUUUUCUGAAAGAGGAAAAAAUGAUCAGAUUUUGGAUAUACUCCCCCUAAUUCACUCAAAAAAUCGCUCCCAAACUUCACUACACAUCCACCACUCAGAAACCUAGUUUAGCACAACUCUUGCCGAAAUUAGAAGCAAAAAAAAAAUACAACCCUUGCCAUCCCAAGGAUUCGAACCCAUGAGACCUCCACCAAAAUAAUACACCAUUUAACCACCAG